GUGUCAGCAGCCGCGGUAAGACGAGGGAUCCUAGCGUUGUUCGGAAUUAUUGGGCGUAAAGCGGGUGUAGGUGGCUAUGUAAGUCAGAUGUGAAAGCCCAGGGCUUAACCCUGGAAGUGCAUUUGAUACUGCGUAGCUUGAGUGUAGGAGAGGAUAGUAGAAUUCCUGGUGUAGUGGUGAAAUACGUAGAUAUCAGGAGGAAUACCGGAGGCGAAGGCGGCUAUCUGGCCUAACACUGACACUCAGACCCGAAAGCGUGGGGAUCAAACAGGAUUAGAUACCCUGGUAGUCCACGCCGUAAACGAUGGAUACUUGUUGUUAGAGGUAUUGACCCCUUUAGUGACGAAGCUAACGCGUUAAGUAUCCCGCCUGGGGAGUACGGUCGCAAGAUUAAAACUCAAAGGAAUUGACGG
RNAcentral lists this ribosomal RNA (413 nucleotides) under uncultured bacterium. RNAcentral's name for it is "bacterial SSU rRNA". It matches the Rfam family "Bacterial small subunit ribosomal RNA", at positions 505 to 916 of the family's 1533-position model. The record is from RNAcentral.